AUUGAACGCUGGCGGUAGGCCUAACACAUGCAAGUCGAGCGAGCGGCGCACGGGUGAGUAAUGUCUGGGAAACUGCCUGCUGGAGGGGGAUAACUACUGGAAACGGUAGCCAAUACCGCCUACAAUCAGAUAUGCCCAGAUAGGAUUGGCGAGUAGGGGGGGUAACGGCUCACUGAGGCGACGAUCCCUAGCUGGUCUGAGAGGAUGACCAGGAAAACUGGAACUGAGACGCGGUCCAGAGUCCUGCGGGGGGCAGAAGUGGGGAAUAAUGGACGAUGGGUGCAGGCCAGAUGCGGCCAUGCCGCGUGUGUGGUGAGGGCCUUCGGGUUGUAAAGCACUUUCAGCGGGAGAGCGGUACCCGAAGAAUAAGCACCGGCUAACUCCGUGCCAGCAGCCGCGGUAAUAC
RNAcentral lists this ribosomal RNA (406 nucleotides) under uncultured bacterium. Its description in RNAcentral is "partial 16S ribosomal RNA". It matches the Rfam family "Bacterial small subunit ribosomal RNA", at positions 29 to 526 of the family's 1533-position model. The record is from RNAcentral.